RNAcentral lists this ribosomal RNA (767 nucleotides) under Rhizophagus irregularis. RNAcentral's name for it is "SSU rRNA". It matches the Rfam family "Eukaryotic small subunit ribosomal RNA", at positions 328 to 1096 of the family's 1831-position model. The record is from RNAcentral. Lineage: Eukaryota; Fungi; Glomeromycota; Glomeromycetes; Glomerales; Glomeraceae.
GUAGGAUAGAGGCCUACCAUGGUGGUAACGGGUAACGGGGUGUUAGGGCACGACACCGGAGAGGGAGCCUGAGAAACGGCUACCACAUCCAAGGAUGGCAGCAGGCGCGCAAAUUACCCAAUCCCGACACGGGGAGGUAGUGACAAUAAAUAACAAUACGGGGUUCUUUAGGAUUUCGUAAUUGGAAUGAGUACAAUUUAAAUCUCUUAACGAGGAACAAUUGGAGGGCAAGUCUGGUGCCAGCAGCCGCGGUAAUUCCAGCUCCAAUAGCGUAUAUUAAAGUUGUUGCAGUUAAAAAGCUCGUAGUUGAAUUUCGGGGUCAGUAGGUUGGUCAUGCCACUGGUAUGUACUGGUCUCACUGAUUCCUCCUUCCUGAUGAGCCGUAAUGCCAUUAAUUUGGUGUUGCGAGGAAUCUGGACUGUUACUUUGAAAAAAUUAGAGUGUUUAAAGCAGGCUAACGCUUGAAUACAUUAGCAUGGAAUAAUGAAAUAGGACGUUCGAUCUUAUUUUGUUGGUUUCUAAGAUUGACGUAAUGAUUAAUAGGGAUAGUUGGGGGCAUUAGUAUUCAAUUGUCAGAGGUGAAAUUCUUGGAUUUAUUGAAGACUAACUACUGCGAAAGCAUUUGCCAAGGAUGUUUUCAUUAAUCAAGAACGAAAGUUAGGGGAUCGAAGACGAUCAGAUACCGUCGUAGUCUUAACCAUAAACUAUGCCGACUAGGGAUCGGAUGAUGUUAAUUUUUUAAUGACUCAUUCGGCGCCUUACGGGAA